This is a long non-coding RNA of Physeter macrocephalus (sperm whale), 1361 nucleotides long. RefSeq lists it as uncharacterized. NCBI's taxonomy places the organism in Eukaryota, Metazoa, Chordata, Mammalia, Artiodactyla, Physeteridae. The transcript is spliced from 5 exons. The record is from RefSeq and is a predicted model, not a curated record.
UGUGGCGGGGGUUGGGGUGGAGAGGGGCGGGCCCCGCUCAGGCCCCGCCCCACAGUGGGCGGAGCUCGCAGAGGACCUACAACGCGCGGCGUCGGGCUCUGUGCGCAGGCGCGCGUCGGUCCUCGGCGGGGCUCCCUGGUGGUCUCGGGCCUGUCUGGGCGCGGUCGCGCUUGGGGCGGGCGGUAGGCCCUGGAGGUCGGCGCCCUGGUCAGCGCGGGCCUCCUGAGGCUGCGAAGAGGGGCGCGGGGCGGAGGCAGAGGCAGCGCCGCCUGGGCCGCGUCCACACUGAAUGGGGGGAGACUGGGGGUCCCGAGCGAACGCGCGGGAAGGGCUGAGUUUGUGGGAGAGGCCGCGCUGGCUGCGGGGUCUCCGUCCUCGUAAUCGCCGAGGCGGCCUGAACGCGGCCCAGAGGACUGAGCGACAGACCCCAUCGGGCCCCGCAGCCCGGGGAGGCUCUGCUGGAACAGAGCAUCUCUACUGAGCCGGAAGGAGGGGGACUCCAGGAACGGGAAUCUCACAGGGAAGAACCCCCACUCCCUCCAGCCUCUGACCCAAGACCCAUCAGAGCUUCAGAAGAGAAGCGGAAGAUACCCAGAAAAGGAGCAUAUCGCCCGGAGGGCCGAGGCUUGAGUAAUUUCACCACCAUCAGCUGGAAAAAGCCUGAAAGGGGAAAUGACUUGUGAAGAAUCGGUAAGAGGCACAUAGAAGUCCUGGCAUGUGCUGUCCACACGAUCGCAUGGAAACACGUUUCCUCUUAAAAGAAAUCCUUUUUAGGACGUCUCUGGUGGUCCAGUGGGAUUAAAGGUUGCCCAGCUGGCGUGUGGAAGUUUUUAGGAAGAGCGUUGAGGAGCUCUCAUCAUCCUGUUCCUCUUUCCUCCUCUUCCAGGAAUGCCUUCCCAGGUUUUGACAGUCUUCCAAGAGCAACAGAAAAUGAACAAAUCCCAGAAGUGUGCUGGCCAGGGAUCCGUGUCAUUCAAGGACGUGACUGUGGACUUCACUUGGGAUGAGUGGCUACAGCUGACCUGUAUGCAGAGGACCCUGUACCGGGAUGUGAUGCUGGAAAACUACAGCCACCUGGUCUCCGUGGGUGAGGAGUCUUCCCUGUGUAAUGCCUCACAGUGUGCAUUUCUUUUCUUAGCUGCCAAAACUUAUGAGCCCUUGGUGGAGCUUUAUGAUGUUUGUACAGCUCAUGGGUCAGAAAUGAUUGCUGCUAUUGAGCACAGAAAGAAUGUUUCUGUUCUCACUUCCCUAAAGAAAGGUUCAAAUGGGCACCAUUAUCAUGUGAAUCCUGAACCGGCACCUUCAUUGUCCUUCAGGGCCCCGAUGUCCAAGCAGCUUGUCUGAAGCCUUAACCCUGUAUC